Molecule: long non-coding RNA, 2017 nt
Organism: Python bivittatus (Burmese python)
Lineage: Eukaryota; Metazoa; Chordata; Lepidosauria; Squamata; Pythonidae
Source: RefSeq, a predicted model, not a curated record
CUUCCCAUCUCUUUCAGUUUUAAUAGGAGGAGGAGAGCGUGAGUCUGAGGUUCAGUGUAAGAUCUGCCAAAGGGAGACCACAGUAUCUGCAUGACCUGGGGGAGAUAAACCUAGGAUUUCUGGAAAGCAUUUGGAGGAUUCUUGUGGUUGAGAAGCCAGAGGAAAGAUCCAUAAAUAAGCCUGAAACAAACCAUGGAUUUUCUUAAAACAAAUUGCGGAUGGCUGGUUUGCAGCUGAGUCCUUUGGGAGAUGGGGGCAUCUGAGAAAACCAGAUAUUACAUCAGCCCCGGACUUCCAUUAUGAAUGACCACCUGGACCUCAUCAGAUUAUUUGUAAGUUGCCUGGUGCUUUCACUUUAAGAGAAAACCCUCCUCACUCUUACUGUCAUUGUUACUACUACCUCUUCAGAGUUUGGGUAUUUCUUUCUUAUCCAGUUUAAAGGGACAGUCACAAAGACGCAACUAAAUAUAUUUCUAAGGCAGCCUUUUGUACUUUUUCUACUUUUUUCCCCCACCGACUAAAACACCUCUACAAUCUUUUUCCAUCCUGCUUAAUUACAUGAAGAAAAUGAGUCCACAGGAAGCUUCUUUCUUUGCAGUCUAAAAGCAGCAAGUUACUAUCCAUGUUCUGGCAAGUGAGAAACUCUCUGAGUGUGGACAUUUUUCUUACCAAAUGCAGUAACAAUGACUGGACAUAUUCAUUCUGAACUGGAUUAUAAAACAAAGCUUUACACCAAGGUCCAGUUCAAAUGUUCCAGAAAAUCAUGGUUUCCCAUUAUGAGAAGAAGCCACAGUGAGCCUCAUGUUAUUUCCGUCCUUCGUGAGUGAAUGAUGGCUUGAAUCGGAGAUACAUGUCAUACAUUGGGAAACCAUGAUUUCCUCUUAGAUCUGACCAAAUCAUUGUGUGACAAUUUUAUUGACAAAUGACAGAUAUAUCUUCUGCAAAGCCAAAUCUGUGACGGCUGGAUGAGAAACAGAACAUUCUAGUGUUCUCCAAAACCUUCUGCUCUUGGACUGGGAAUGGUCAGAUAACGUAUGGUGUUGGUUGGCCAUAAGCACGCACAGGCAGUGUUUUCACAGAAGGCGGACCUCUACCAGUAAUUCUCAGGCUCAAGGAACCUGAAUGCAGAAGCCAUAGGGACAUAACAUGCACCAUGAUGUUAUUUGCAAAUGAUGUAAAUUAUGAAAUUUGCAUAAGUUGUGCCAUGAUGCAAAUAAUGCACAGUAUUUAAUUCUCAUUGCUUAUGCAAUAAUGUCACACGUGUGAUGUUGCUCUUUCCCCACCAUCCUGGUAAGUGCAAAAUGUUCCAUCUUAGUUGUGAGGAAGAAGAAUGUAUUUGGCAAGUCACAACUGCUUAGAUGCCAAAUGUAGCUUGGGUUUUAAACAACUGCGCACUUAGGGUGAUGAUCAUUAUUUCUGACAACCACAGGAACUGAACACUGAAAAUAAGGUGAGAGAACCACACCAUGCAGAACAUCUCACUGCGCUUUGCUGAAUGCAAAUCAAACAUUUGUGCCAAAGGAAACUUUUUUCCCAAUGCAAACAGCAGGUGCAGGAGAACCAAUCCGAUCAGAAAAAAAGGUUAAAGCUCUUGGAUUGCCCCCUUCUCUAAGCACUUGUUACCUUUUUUAAGAAGCUGUUUUUACAAUUUCUAUAUCAUAAAUAGCGUCUUGUUUAAUUUAGCUCUGAACCACUGAACAAUUAGUUUACAUUACAUUUAUGUGCACACAUACUAUGGAGUAAGUCCUUCUGAACUCAGAGGAAUUAACUUAGAAUCAGGAUUGUGUUGCAUAUGUAACUUGCCUAAUGCAUCUACUUUUGUCUAUGCACCAAUUUAAAAGGAAAGGAACACGGAAACACCUUCCACCUAAAGUAAAUAUUUUUUUUAAUCAGGCCAUGUAAAUUCUACAUACAGUAGGCAAACUAUUACUUGCUUUACAUAAUCCACUUGUACAUUUAUUUUCUAGAUGCCAAGUCCAUAAUAAUAAUUAUUCUAAAACAUUACUCAAUAUUUUAU